Molecule: ribosomal RNA, 201 nt
Filed under: Astomella sp. SLW-2002
Lineage: Eukaryota; Metazoa; Arthropoda; Insecta; Diptera; Acroceridae
Description: partial 28S ribosomal RNA
Rfam family: Eukaryotic large subunit ribosomal RNA
Source: RNAcentral
AAUUAUUAACGGAGGUUUCCCAAGGCCGGCUCAGUGCGGACGGAAACCACACACAGAGCAAAAGGGCAAAUGCUGACUUGAUCUCGGUAUUCAGUACAUACAGAGACGGCGAAAGCUUGGCCUAUCGAUCCUUUUGGUUUAAUGAGUGUUUAAUAAGAGGUGUCAGAAAAAUUACCACAGGGAUAACUGGCUUGUGGCGGC